GGUAAAACUUACCGGGUCCGGACACACUGAGGAUUGACAGGCGAAGUAAAUAUGCUAGUCCUUUCAUGAUUGUGUGAUAGGUGGUGCAUGGCCGUUCUUAGUUCGUGGAGUGAUCUGUCUGCUUAAUUGCGCUUCAGAUAAAUUUGGAUAAUAUGUAGUGACAAUGUUCUUAGUGUAACAGCUAACUCAUUUAACUCUAUAUCCAUUGAAAGCAACGA
Molecule: ribosomal RNA, 218 nt
Filed under: Allogromiina sp. 46
Lineage: Eukaryota; Foraminifera; Allogromiidae
Description: partial 18S ribosomal RNA
Rfam family: Eukaryotic small subunit ribosomal RNA
Source: RNAcentral